CCCCAUGCCAUUUGGGGGAAGCUCUUUCAGUAGCUUCGAAAUACCUGCAGGUUCUCUGCGGGGUGCUCGGAAGUUGGGGCCCUAGAUCAAAUGCAGUGGUCUCAUAGUACGAGGUUGCGCUGUGGUCGAUGAUUUUCUCGCCGACCAGUUUCUCGCAACCUUGCCUCCAAUGACCCCAAUAUUCGUUAAAUCAUAUAUGUGUCCAUGUUUGUAUUAUC
Molecule: long non-coding RNA, 218 nt
Filed under: Hordeum vulgare
Lineage: Eukaryota; Viridiplantae; Streptophyta; Magnoliopsida; Poales; Poaceae
Description: long non-coding RNA (HVUL_LNC011621)
Source: RNAcentral